RNAcentral lists this ribosomal RNA (402 nucleotides) under uncultured bacterium. RNAcentral describes it as "bacterial SSU rRNA". It matches the Rfam family "Bacterial small subunit ribosomal RNA", at positions 335 to 726 of the family's 1533-position model. The record is from RNAcentral.
ACUCCUACGGGAGGCAGCAGUGGGGAAUAUUGCACAAUGGGGGAAACCCUGAUGCAGCCAUGCCGCGUGUGUGAAGAAGGCCUUCGGGUUGUAAAGCACUUUCAGUAGGGAGGAAGGUAGUGUAGUUAACACCUGCAUUAUUUGACGUUACCUACAGAAGAAGCACCGGCUAACUCCGUGCCAGCAGCCGCGGUAAUACGGAGGGUGCGAGCGUUAAUCGGAAUUACUGGGCGUAAAGCGCGUGUAGGUGGCUUGUUAAGCCAGAUGUGAAAGCCCCGGGCUCAACCUGGGAACUGCAUUUGGAACUGGCAGGCUAUGAAGUUUUGUAGGGGGUGUAGAAUUUCAGGUGUAGCGGGUGAAAUGCUUAGAGAUCUGAAGGAAUACCAGGUGGCGAAGGCGACC